UCUAGCUGAAAUUAGAAAUAAUCUUUAAGAUGAACCACAAGGCAGACAUGAGCAGCAGACUGCCCCAAAAAUAAUCAUCAUUACCACAUGUAGGUGUCUAUUGUUUAAGGCAUAAUCCAAGCUGCCUGGCAAAGGCGGAUAUGGAACAGGGCGGGGCAGUAGUAAGAUGGAAGAGGAGGGGCUGGGACGGUGAUUGUACUUCAAACAUAGACGCGGUAAUCACCAGCGUAGAAAAAGCAGACGGUAAUUAUUACCCAGCUGCGAGUGCACCUCCACAACAACACAUGUACUUUGCCAAAUCAAUCAGUCGCACGUCCACAACGACAUAUGUACCUUGAUGAAUCAAUCAGUGCUACAUUAAUGGUCAGCGGGAGACAUUUACCAAUUCUCAGAUCCGAUGUUUAUCAUGGACUGGAGGUAAUUGUGGGAGAGACAGAGAGGCUGUUUUCGGUGCCAGAGCUAGCUUAACACAGCUCCCAUACCACCGAUCACACCACCAGUACGCUAAGAAGUUGCAUCUUUGUAAAAGACACAGUUCUUACCCAACUGUUUUGAUAUUCUUGCUUCAUGCCAACAGUGUGUGUUGUCAGGCAGGGUGUGUUGCUUUUAUUUCCUUUUACCGGCUGCAGGUAAAAAUGGAAGCCAUCAAGGCGUUGUGAACCAAUUAUUUGAUAGUGGGCAAGUUCAGCUCACCUCCAUGACACAACCAUCUUCGGACAAUCGAGAAAACUCAUGUGACUCUGAAGGGAGAACAUAUCCCAUCCUCACAUCCCUACUCAUACCCACCAAUGCGUUCUAGUUAAAUUAAUUUAGAGUCAUAUGUCCAAUCUUUGUCACUCAAAACUUCACACUGUAAAUUGAAACACUCCAUUCAAUCCCAACUUGAAAUCUUUUCUUUUGUCCAAUCACGAGUGUCCUUUGCCUAAUACCCAUAGCAAAUAAAAAUUGUGAUUCUAUUAAUUCAAGUGUUUGUGCAACAUCUUAUGCAUGAUCAUGUGACAUUGUCAAGAUCGGUUUCAGAUGGCUGUGACAGACAGGAUAAUGGAGGAUCAUGCAAAGCUAAUAAUUGGAGUUACCUCCCCUUCAGGGGUCUUUCAUAUGGGUGACACAAGUCAAACAAUACAAUGCUUCAUGUAAUUUGUUUCCUUCAAAUCUGACAGGAUUUUUUUCCAGCUGGUGAACCUAAUCACACUGCACAAAACCCCUGAGCGAUUCUUGCUUAGCGAGGUGUAAACACUGGACAGAUUAGCCCGGUCCCACAGAUAAAUCAAACCUACAAACAUGAUUUGGUUGCAUGCUUGGUAUUAUAAAUCAGGCUGUGCUGGAGUCAGACAGGCAAAGAUCUCAGCAUGCCUCAGCCAGGGGAGACAUGAUAGGGUGACAAUAUAAACUAAACGUGACUGGUGAAGCCAACACAGGCACUUAGAGAUGAUCCAGGCACUGCAUUUACUUCAGGGAAUGUAAUACACGGCCAUUGUGUGGCUGGCUCACACAGGAAAACACGCUUUUAUCUCACGAGGAAUAGGCUUGUCUCUAUCAAAAGGGAAAUGCACACUUGUAUCUAGCUAGGAGGGAAUACAAACUCGUAUCUGCCAGGAGAGCGUUGGCUAGUGACUGAGGUAUAACACUGUAUAUACAUCCAUCUAGGUGAGUGUACACACAUCCAUCUUGUGUUGCAGACACUAACUGGUGAGGCCUUGUAAUGUGAUCACAAUCUGCCCAAUGGAGUAAUUAUACAGACUUGAAGACCACUAAUGGAAUAUAAGGCCCCAUCUAUGAUGAAGUGGUACACCAUUACAUGGCUGCUGUGUGAAUCAGCCUGGAUACACGGCCAUCUGAUUGGGUCAGAGAAUAUAAGGUGCUAAAUAUGGCCGUCAUGAUAUGGAGCGUGGGGUGCUGCACUUGCCACUGCCUGGCAAGACGGAUGUAUUUCUCAAUCACUUGUGUGUGCGAGAGCUACUAAGACAUUGGGUGAUACACACGCCAGAACCUGGACAGAGAUGUGUUUGUUUGAUCCUCUGUGUGUGUGAGGAGCUUUCUUAAGGCACAAUCAGCAGCAGAUCAAAGGCAAAUCAAGUUAUCCCACAGGACUAGGAAAAGGCAGGGUGCUUCACCACAAACAGUGGAAUUGUCAUCAGUUGAUAAAAUUACAUGGCAUGAUAUGGGCUGCAGACACGCUGACAUGUGGGAGUGGUAAACCCAUCAUCCUGGACAUUCAACGGGAGUCAGUUGAGUGUAGUGGAGUCGGGGGGAUGUGGAGGGUACUGGCGUCUGGGAGGUGUGGAGUGUACUUGGGGAUGUGCAGUGUACCGGGGGAGGCUGGUGUGGCCGUCACUUGGGGGACAGUCGAUACCUGUUUCGAGUGAAGUGAAGGUGGAAUUGGUGAUGACCAAGACGUGAACAUGGAUUACUUGUUUCAAAGGAAAAAAAGUAUCCGAGUAUGGAGAUUUACAAGCAUCACAAGGAUUGCACCAUGUGUCCAUGUGUCCAUGUGUCAGUGAUGGUGAUUUGGUGAUUUUCCUUUAUCAGCUAUGGACUCAGCCAUGUGUAGCAAUGAUGGAUAUAUACCAGUAUUGGAUAUUGAGCAAAGAGAACCCACUGCUGUGCAAGAAACCAUCUUCCUUUUAAGAUAACUACUGCACUGUCAAGAUGUCUCAGCCUACAACAAAUUGCUCUACAAUUUUAUGGUUCAACUGGGCCAGGUAAUGUGAACAGAAGUACAUCACUAACAGGAACCUGGUUUCAAAGGGUUCAGGGUCUGCUGGAAAUGGAUUUCAAUCAGUGUUCACUGGUGCCGAGAUCUGGAAAACUGUUCAGCUGAUGUAAGAAUGAAGUGCAGCGAUUCCACAGCCUGCAAUCAGCAUCAGAUAAACUUGCACGUCAAUCAGGGUGGAGGAACAAACUGUGAUGAACCGAUAACAACCAUCUCCCCAGUGCAGUAUGGGCACGUCGUGGGAUAGCCUUGAUGCAAGAGCUGUUGCAGCGCCCAGCUUACACAAUUCAGGUGAUCAAGGGGCGAACUACACUGUGAUGAGGUGACGGUUAUGUGCAGGUGACGGGUAUGUGCACUUCAGGGGAUAGCAUCGGUGAAAGAGCUGUUGCAGCUCCCAGCUUAGACAGUUCAGGUGAACUAGUGAUCUCAUUGUCAUGUCAAUGGAUAAGGAUGGAGAUCUCAAAAAUAGAAGGAUGCAAUCUCUAUGAAUAAGGAUGCGAUCUCGAUGUGUACGGAUGCGAUCUCGAUGAUAAGGAUGGGGAUCUCGCUGGAUUAGGAUGUGAUCUCGAUGGAUAAGGAUGUGAUCUCAAUGGAUAGGGAUGUGACCUCAAUGGAUAGGGAUGGGGAUCUCGAUGGAUAGGCAAGUGAAUGCAGGGAAUAACCAUCAGUGCCUAGGUGACAGAACAGCUUCAGCUCCAAGACUUCAUGGCAAUGUUUUCUCAUUAUGGGGGACGUGUUUGUGUUGUGUGCCCUGUGAUGGAGGAUAAUGGAUUACACAAGCCUCCCGCUGCUGCCGCUGUCAGAUUUCCAAGGGAGGUAACUUCUUACUCAAUAGGAAACUUCCUACAAGACAAUCUAGAAGCAGAGAGAAAACUAAAACUGAAUGACACACAGACAGGCGAUCCCCGACAAGACCGGUGCCACACUAGCGGGAGGGGCUGAUGUCUUGCCACCGAUCAAGCGAGUCUCGUCCCACCAACGAAGGCCAACAGCAGCGAGUGGCAGUGACAAAGUAAGUGUACGUUGCUAUGUGUGACUGACUGAGGCCAGGUUGGUAGGUAGGUAGGUAGGUAGGUAGGUAGGGUACUCACUUGGUUUUGUCCCAGCAUGGGAUUGUGAGGAGGCUGUGAAUGGGGGGACGGCUGGGACGCGGGAGGCUGUCAACGUGAAAGAGGCCGAUGGCCAGUGGGAGACAUUGUCAGCAAUGUGCAAAUAAUCCGGUGUAGUUCCACACGCAAGUCAGCAUGUGAAUUUUCAACUUGCUACCUCACAAUUGUAAUAUUCAUUCAAAGAAUUUUCCAACUUAAUACCCAACUACCAAAACUAUUUGAAAAGGCUGGAAGAGGAACUGAAUCCGCUGUGAGGGAAUACCUGGCGGGGAAGCAUGCACGCGGUGAUGCUGACGCUGUGCUCAUGCAGUUCUUUACGACGUGGACCCCACGCUCUAUCACUUCACAGACGAACAACUCUUACAAUCACAACAAAACCUGGAUCUACAACAACUGCCGUUCGCUAAUGAACUCACAAUCCUAACACUGAGUGACUGCAGGGAACAAGCAUUCAAGUGCUAGAUUGAACACAAUAGUUUACAUAUCCAUCUGCCCUAGACUUCAAUAAUUUUGUUUAUUAUUUAUUCCUAGAUUAAACUAAUAUCUUCCUCACUCAUUCCUAGAUAUAAUCAUAUAUCUCUAUCCACUAUUCAAAUAAUUAACACAUGUAUAUUACAUCACACUCAAUCUACUGAUUAACCAUAGAGUGAGUGAGUGAGUAUGGUUUUACGCCACUUUUAGCAAUAUUCCAGCAAUAUCACGGCGGGGGACACCAGAAAUGGGCUUCACACAUUGUACCCAUGUCGGGAAUCGAACCCGGGUCUUCGGCGUGACGAGCGAACGCUUUAACCACUAGGCUACCCGACCGCCCCGAUUAACCAUAGAGAAACACACAUUACAGAUUGUUCCUUGUCAAGAUCUGAUCUUGUUAUUACUGAAUGUGCCUCCUCCCUUGUAGGUAAGAUACCCCAUGCUACGAAACCCUAUUCAGUACAGCGUCUUGGAUGCCUGAAACAUCGCAAUCUAUGAACUACUCAACUAGAGAGAGGUAUAAGUAGAUAAAAUAGAAUGAUAAACUUUGAUCUAUAAAUGUAUCACACUGACUAGCCUAAUUGUUACAGAAGGGUAUACCCAAAGGAAGUCUUGUGAUAAGUUUGUCUGUGAUUUACUUACAGGAAAAAAACUAGGUGGCAUGGGACCGCCAGGCAUGCCAUCUUGUGGGGGCAUCUGACUGAGCGGACUGGGCGCUGCAUUCUGGAACAAAAACAUGCACCAUUAGCAGAGUCACUCACAAUCAGCAGAAAAUACAUUCAGAAACAUAAUUUAUGUAUUAGUAAGAAUAUGAAUUGCAUGUUGUUUUAUGCCAGUCAGCAAUAUUCCACAAGAUGGUGGACUGCUAAUCAAGUCUGGAGCCAUCAAAGCAGGGCAGUCAUACUGCCAUCACUGUCGUAAGUCUACGAGUUACGACUGUCUUAGGGUUGCGAUCACUUUGUGAAAUGGGACCCUGAGGUUAUGUCCUAAUCCUGGUUACAGGUAGUAAGUGUUUCAUAAUAGGUUCAAAACACAAACUUCGGUACUAGGGACCCAUUUUGACCCAGCAUAGUCAAAGAGUGUCUAUACUAUGAAGUAAUUGAUAUUUAUUAAUACAGAUCCCAGAUAAUCAAAAAUAUAAAGAGGUAUCAGAUAUUCAGAAAUUGCUGAUGAAAAUAGUGAGAAUGGAGCUAGCUCGAAAAGAAAGAAAAACCUUCCUAGUGGCAGUGGUUGAUCGUGUGAAGAUUAUGACAUUAAAUGUUCCUAUCAUCAACAUAAUUAUCAUUAUCAUAAUUAUUACUGUGACAGUGAUAAUUAGUGUCAUUGUUAUUAGCAUUGUUAUAACCCACAAGUGGUGUUGAGAAAUCUUCCAUGAAUUGUUAUCAGAGGCAAGUCGUGCUUGGGAGAAUAGCACAACGUGCUGGUAAACACCAGCUUGUAGCUAGAGGUUGGCAACACGUUAAUGUAUUUUGUAUUCUGAACUUGUUAACAGGUCAAAGCAUGCAUUAUUUGCCAUGACUUUUCCAGAUAAACUUUGUGAGUGGUCAUGGAUGUUAGUGCACUCAUUUGGAAACUUAGUCGUAAAAGUUCAAGACAUGUUCAAAAAUAUUCAGAUGAAUACAACAUGUUUAGUUUGUUAAUCUUCGGUCUUGUGUUUCUUGACUAAUAUAGAAGUAUUUGAUAUUCAGCAAAUACAAUAUCAUUUCACUGUAUCAAUUCCUGAGGAAUAUGUUUGCAUAAAGAAUCAUACCAUAACUUUCAGUUAUAACUCACUGAGGCAUGAUCUUUCUCCCUUUUUUACAGAUUUGUGUGAAAAAUCCAGGUAUUUUUGAGGGGAGGAGAGGGAGUGAGAAGAGAAGAAAAAGUUCAGAUUUAUUUUUGUUGUUGCCAAGUGAUCAUAAGAGCCAUGCCGUUUAACAUAUUGUAUGUGUAAUUAUGUCUUGAACACAUGAAAGUUUGCAUUACAUAUUAUUUUCACAUCUUCAUGUCCAAAAUCUAUCUUAACACAAACAGAAUCAGUAAACCAAUUACCAAUAGAGUCCUAUUUUAAUCAAUUUUUUUUUUUUUUUUAUCUAAUUAAUUCCCAUUUUAGUUAAUUUGUGAAAAGGUUUUGAACUUUCUAUUUAAUGAAAAACAUGUAAAUCAAGCAGUGUUGUUAAGCAAAUAAAGAGAAGUCUUCUUUUAAUAAAUUGUUAGGCGUUUGCAUCGGUUUGGCAGAUCGCACCUCGAGAAAUUCAGAAAAUGAUGUUCUACAAGUAAUGGAUGUACCACAUGCAUGCAGAAAGUCAUCAAAGGUAAACAAUGAAAGCUGAACCUAUUGUGUAGAAGUUAAAUCUUGCCUUGCUGAUCAAUAGAAUAAACUUGAGGUUUAUUUUGAACAAUAAAAUGAAUCUACUG
Molecule: long non-coding RNA, 6690 nt
Filed under: Haliotis rufescens (red abalone)
Lineage: Eukaryota; Metazoa; Mollusca; Gastropoda; Lepetellida; Haliotidae
Description: uncharacterized LOC124136160, transcript variant X8
Source: RNAcentral